CUUGACCUCCCAGGGAGGAGUGGAUGACCUGGGACGAUUUAGCUUGCAGAUGAGGGGAGGGCAAGCGUGGUGGUCCUCAAGGGCUGUCGAUGAAUACAGGCAUAAACAUGGUUCUGACUUUGAGGGUACAACCUGGCGACAAGAGAUGGACUUUUGAAUGGAGAGAACUUCUGACCCAUCAUCAAGAAGACUGGUUGCCCCGCCACGGCUGGCUGACCCUUCUUGUCUGGGGUUCUGUCGGGCACUUCUCAAUGAAGGUAGAGAGUCAUUCGAGAUGAGACAUACAUGGCCCCGCCCCGAUCUAAUAGUCCCAGACUCUAGUAUUUCUGUUGGCUUUGAGAUUUGACUAUGGAUAAGCGUGCUAUUCUAAAGUUGCAAAAUUUGAAGCUUGCCAAGAACUCUACAAAUCCUAAUGAAGUGCCCGGUGGCCUCACAUUGCUGUAUGAAGCCCCCCUCCUCCAUGGAUUAUGAAACACGGGGGUGGUGGUUCCAGCUCCUGGCAGGGUCAUAGAAAGGCGCUUUGAGAGCUGCCAUUGCUCAAGAACCCAAAGAUGGACCUUCAAACCCUCUUUUGAUAUUGCCGGUGGCUGCCCUUGAAACUUCAGAAGGGACGUCCACACCUGGCCCCGUGUUUGCACAUAAUCCAGUGGCAUCUGGACUUUUUUUUCAAUGGCCUGGAAGUCUGUGAAGUCAUUCCGAAGAGUGGCUUUCUUAUAUGCCUCGGCCAAAACAAGCACGGAGAAUCCUGGUCAUGAGGCACUUAAAAAUUUAUUAGGCUCUGGUAUUAAAUUAUAGCGUGACCUGUUAAACACGGAUUCAAAUGGGCCAUGGUUCAAAUCAAGCUCUCGCUCCCACUAGGGCUCUUCGACCAGCCAUGCAACAGACUGGUAGUGACCCCUCUGUCUCCAGAGGCAUCAAACUGUGUCUAUGUGACCACUUACGUGGGCAAUACUCACAGAGGGGGUUCUCGAACCCCACAGCAGAAAGGCGGUAAACUUGAAUGCAUUCAAGGCCUUGGAGGGCAGUGGAAGGGAAGAAAUGUGGCCAGCCACGGACGGGCGUGUGUGAUAACGGCUGGGCAGCUCUUACUUAAGCACCCAGUGGUGACAGGCAUGAUGGAUGCAGCCAGCCAAACCUGUCCUUAUGCCGCCUACCGUCUCGGGGGCCUGACAACGACCAGCCGGGUAAGGGAACAGUGUGCCUAGCAGAGCACCGUGAGAAGGGCGCAAGUUUUCCACCGGAGACCGGAACCUAGUCAUCCGGGAUGGGGACAGCUUCCUCGAGGAAGUGACUCGAGCCAAGAUCUAGAGGGUGCUGAGGGGUGAACGAGGCGAAGGGGACGAGAAAAGCGCUGCUGGAAGAGGAACAGUGUGUGCAAAGCCUGUGACCAGAGGCACCGGAAGGAGCCAGCACUGCUGGGAGCUGAGGCUGUCGAGGUUCGGGGUGAGCCAGACCCUGCAGUCUUGUCAUCCUUAGAGAAGACUUGGAUGCUGGUGCUGAGCAUGGGGGAAGCCUCUGGAGGAUUUCCAGCAAGGAAAGACAGAGUCUGAUCUGCGUUUGGAAAAGACUUCUCUGAGUACUAUUGGGAAGAGACAGGAGAUGGUGGGAGGGACGAGUGGGGACUGAGGGGAGCAGAAGAGAUUCAAGGGACCAGUGGGGUGGUGUGACGGAGGGACAACAUCCUGGGGAGACACGACGGGGGCCUGCCCGGAACCAUGCCAGCUGAACGAGAGGGAGAGGUCAGGCUUGAGGGCGCGUUAGGAUUUGGAAUCCUCCGGCCUUGGUGCAAGAUGGAAGGAGAGUUGGGACCGACUCCCGCGGUGCGAGCAGGUGCACCUGAAGGCCAGCGGGCCUCAGAUCUACGUGCGUGUCCCAGCAGCAGCCCGUGACGUAGGCAGCCUCUGGGACGGCUCCCAGCGACCCCCCGCUUCUGGGUUUUCACAACUUUGUGCUUUUCCCUCUUGAUUGUGGGCUGCACUUAGUGCCUUGUAGCCAAAAGACUAUGUCAGAGGUGACGGGAGAGGAGGCUGGGUUAUAAAAGGGCGGUGACCUCUGUUUGGUGCUCUCUCUCGGUCUCUCCAUGGCUCGAGCUGGGGAGAGGCCCGUGCGAGUGCACUUGGAAGUGGAUCUUCGGAGGCCUGCCAUAAGCUGUCUAAGUGAGUUUGGAAUCUGAUCACCCCCAGUCAAGCCUUGAGAUGACCGCCACCAAGGCUGACACCGCGACGGCAGCCUCAUGGAAAACCUCGAGUCACAGCCACCCCGUUAAGCCACUUGCAGAUUCCUGACCCACAGAAACUGAGAGUUAAUAAUCGUGUUAUUUCCAGCUGCUGAAUUUCAGGGUCAUGUGUUAGGCGCAGCCGUAGGUGAUGAAUACAGCUCUCCCUGACACAGGCUGCACCCUCGGCUUCCUCGGGGCUGGGAAGGGAAGGGUUAACCACAGAGCCCAGGCCUCCAGGCCAGCAGCAAGGUUAAGGCCUCCGGCUUGAGGGACAGUUCAUUACAGAGUUAUCUAGUGGCCCAGCCAACAUUUGGGUCUGCAGCCAGCUGGGCCUCCGCCGUCCUGCGGUGCCUGUCAUAACAGGGGCCCUCGAGGGGAGGCGUCCUGGAAAUGGACAGAUUUAUGAACAGCCUCACUUCCCUGCAUCUGCCCAUGACGUGCCAGCUGCAAGUAGAGCCAGUGGGGCCUUGUGGCCGUGUCCCCAGUGGGGGGACACUGCCUCCACUCCCACACCACGCUGCCUCCCGGAUUUCAUGGCCCCGGGGCUGCUAUGUUGAGUCCAGAGAGAGGUGCCGAGGGACUCCCCCAAAUCCCAGAGAUGGCCAAUACCUACAUGGGUGUACGAAGCACCUCCUGGGGGACGAGCCCUUAUAGCCAUCACCUCGUUUCACCCUCUCAGUAACCCUGCCAAAGUGAGACUGCCUAUGAGCUCCGCCCCGUUGCAGGGGAGAGAACCAAGGUCCAAGGUCACGUAGCAGGAAAACACAAGAGCGUCUGACUCCGAAGUGUGUGCUUACCCACUGUGUCUCUCUGGUGGCUCUGUGAUGAGGAGGGAUUUGGCGCCUCAGUGGUUGGGGGAGCUGCUUCGGGGAGUAAGGUGGGAGAGCCAAGGAGGCAGGGCCCCAUCCAACUCCAGCGAAAGCAGCUCUCCUCUCCCGGGUUGUGCCGUCAAGGGACCAUGUGAAAUUGCAUUUCACAAACCAGGUAGCAUGGUGUUUCAGGAUGCGUGGUCUGAACUGAGGACUCGAAGUAGGAAGAGAAGUCUGGUGCAGCAGGGACAGGGGGAAGAGGGCGAGAAAUAACCGUUGUGGGUUUUCUCUGAAAGCAGAGCCUAGGAGGAGGGAGUGGACAGCAAUAAGAUUAGAAACUGCUACACAUAUUUCCCGGAGCCGUAAAUCCUGGUUCAUUUUACCCAAUUUACCAAAGGGAUUAAGCUGACAUAGAGAGGAGCCAAAAGAGAGAAGACAGGCUGCCUUCCGGGACUGGCUGUUCAAAGAGCUGAGGCCCAGACUGGCAAGGGACAAACCUCUCACCCUGAGCCCAGGUUCUUUCCCCAGCACCCCUGGACACGGCCCAUCCUGUUCCUGCUGGAACCCUUCCAGUAGGGGGGAGCUCACGCAGGUACCUGUUCCCACGGGUUCAGCUCUCAGUGCUCAGAAGACCUUGCCCUGCAAAAACAAACCUUCCCCCAACAGCUUCAUUCAAUAAUUCAGUGGGUUGUUACAUAAAAACAUACUUUUAAUAUAUUUAUUUUGAAUCCAAUAAAAAUGCUAAAUUUUCUUGUCA
Molecule: long non-coding RNA, 3784 nt
Filed under: Ursus maritimus (polar bear)
Lineage: Eukaryota; Metazoa; Chordata; Mammalia; Carnivora; Ursidae
Description: lncRNA (ENSUMAG00000003617.1)
Source: RNAcentral